Lynx canadensis (Canada lynx) is the source of this 176-nucleotide long non-coding RNA. RefSeq lists it as uncharacterized. The transcript has 3 exons. NCBI's taxonomy places the organism in Eukaryota, Metazoa, Chordata, Mammalia, Carnivora, Felidae. The record is from RefSeq and is a predicted model, not a curated record.
UGCCCACAAGGUACUCUGUGGAUAUCCCCUUGGACAAAACUGUUGUCAAUAAGGAUGUCUUCAGAGACCCUGCUCUUAAACUCAAGGCCCGACAAGAGGCCAAGGUCAAGUUUGAGGAGAGGUACAAGACCGGUAAGAACAAAUGGUUCUUCCAGAAGCUGCGGAGAUCUGAAGAG